This 1174-nucleotide long non-coding RNA is filed under the name Nicotiana tabacum (common tobacco). Its description in RNAcentral is "long non-coding RNA (NTAB_LNC014473)". The record is from RNAcentral. Lineage: Eukaryota; Viridiplantae; Streptophyta; Magnoliopsida; Solanales; Solanaceae.
GCCAAAAUUUUCAUAGCAAGAUAUUUGAUAAUCACGAUAUUUUGCUAAUUAUUACAUCAGCCAAAUAAAGAAAGCAUUUCACACAUGAAAAUCGGACACUAUUCUGUCUCAGCUAACAUACAUAUACUCUGCAUCUAUUAUUUAUUUCCUUUAGACAAAUUCAUUGUACAAUUUGAUUCAUCCUAAGUUUUCCUCCAAUUUUGAGACUCUCCGCUAGUCAUGUAAGCAGAACUGGUAACGACCCAAAAGAGCACAAAAUAUUGAUCCGCAUAUCACAAUCAAACUGCAGAAUGACCACCAAAAUUAAUUACCCAGCGGUAUCCGUGAAAGCUCACUAUAAAAUAUCAAGAAUGAAACAGUGUGCAUCACUUGGCAUUUUUGCGGACAAACACCAAAAAUCGGUUAUAUUAGGUUGAAGGAACUAAAGGUUUAAAGCAACAAAUCAAAUACUCAUGUUCAACAGAGAGUGACAAACUCAUAACAUUUAACAAAACCAUGCGUUUAAGUGCGGAAUGAAACUGAAAAUAUUGAGAUAAGAUAAAAUGAACGUUUGCAAUUACUUGACUGCUUCUUUCAAAAUUCAAACAAGGAUGAACCUCUGACCGGAGCCGGGACUGUUAAACGGAAAAUCAUCGACAACAACGACAAUACCUCGACUUGCAGCUGAACGGAGACUCGGACAGCAACUUCCGACGACUCGAAGCUCACCGGAAAAACUUGAACCAAAUAAAAACGACGAAGAUGAACUCCAACUGAUUUUGAAUUUAUUUUUAGCUAUUUUUGAGUUGGAUUUUGGACUGAAACUGUAGUAUUUUGAAGGUGGUUUGGCUGGGUAUGCGUCAAUGGAGCAGAGAUGGCAGGUUCGCCGAUGGGGGAAGGUCUUUAGUUCUCUGCCGCUACUUUUGUAUUGAAGAGAGGGUCUGUUUUUAUGUGGAGAUGGGAUCGUUUAUUGUAAGGGAAACGGGUGGAGAAGAAGGUGAAGAAGAGGGGUUUUCGAUGGGUGUUCAGCGGCUGAAGAAGAUGACUAACGGGGGGGUGGGGUUUUCCUUUAAAAGCUGCGCCCCAAAUUUCUUCUCCCCCUUUUAGAUUUUUUAAGCAUUAAUUUAUAGGUAGAGUCUAGGUUUAGGUGUAUCUUUGUGUAUUUUGCCCAUUAGUCCCUAGAUCUUUUGUGUUA